This is a long non-coding RNA of Cavia porcellus (domestic guinea pig), 689 nucleotides long. RefSeq lists it as uncharacterized. The transcript is spliced from 2 exons. The record is from RefSeq and is a predicted model, not a curated record. NCBI's taxonomy places the organism in Eukaryota, Metazoa, Chordata, Mammalia, Rodentia, Caviidae.
GGCAGACUCACGCUGUGAAAAGCCACCUGCCCGAGGGUCAUUGCCCACUGCGGGUUGUCUGGAUACCAUCCUCCCCACCUCCAUCCUGCCGCUCCCACUCUGGGAAACUAAACCGAGUGAUGAUUCCAGCCGACAGGAGCAGCUGAGACUCUCUCUGGAGAGAAGGCCGGCAGCCCACCAGCUGCAUCUGCAGAACUGCGAUUUGAGAGGAGUCUUCCUCUCCAAGAGCAGGCUCUAAUUACAGUCAGCAUCACCUCCUAGGAAACUUCUCUGGGUUUCAGACAUCCCUCAGAAGCAAUCAGAGAUACCUUGAAAUAAUUAUUUCAGACCUGCCUGUCACACUGUCAACAGAGAAGCAGAGGUUGACCAGAUGCUCUUCCACUGGAUCCUUUUCCGUGUACCCUGAAAGAAGCUCAUAGCCAGAGACCCACAGCUUUGGGCCUCGCCUGUCAUUAGUGACUCGCUUUCCCUUUCUGUGAAAUAAGGGUAGCCCUGGAAUGAGGCCACUUAUUUAUCGUGGGAAGACACAAAAUUCAGUUCUGCCAGCUGGUCCUCAGUGACUUCAAGGUCUUUUUCAAAAUGUGUCACCCUCAGAUUACUCAGCUGAGAAGUGGGUAUAAUGCCACUAGGAGCAGGGUUGCACAGUUCCUGUAAAACAUGAAUAAAGUAUGAAAGCAGUGCUCCAGGUA